CUAUAUUUUAUUUAAAGCAGGUACUGUUCUGUUACAAAACAACUAAUAAACAUUUUAUUAUUUUAACAGGUGAACCAUAUUUUACAUGAACUUGGGAAAAAAAACAACUUGGAUUCCAUGGAAAAUUGGAAAUAUAUAUAAUCAUGUCAUCAAUCAGAUAGUAAACAAUCAUUAAGAUGGCCUCAAGAUUAUAUUUCACAGUGACCAACAUGAAAAUUUUUAAAUGGGAAUUAGUUGAUGGCAUUAUAGUUUUCUAAGGGGCGGACCAUUUGAUUUUUGAGGGGGGGGGGUGGAAGAUUCAGUCAGUGCAAGAAUUUUUUUUCCGCCCAGGCGAACGAGACAGAUAUUUUUUUCCUGUAAAAGUGCAGCGCAAGAUAUUUUUUUCCCAAUAUAUUUGGCCGCAGGAUAUUUUUUUUGCCUCUCAUAAUAACGGCUUACAGCAACUUUAGGCUUUCAUAUAGCUAUCAUCGGAGACGUAGCAGGGGUUUUCAGUCAGAGGAGGCCGAGAACUGAAUCCCAAGAGGGGCCAAAGAAUUUUCACUGUGCUUUAUUUUAUAUGGUUAUGUCUUAAUGUUCCCCACACUAAAGCGUGCAAGUUUACUUACAAAGAAUGUAUAACUGCACCAAAACCUAAAACAUGCAGGGAUAGAGUAGAGUACAGUACUCCAAAAUGGGGGAGGUUACAGUAUAUGAAUGACCUGUAACCUUGGGGGGUUCGGGGGCAUGCUCCCCCGAGAAAAUUUUAAAAUUUGAACCUCGGAAAUGCUAUUUCCUGCGUUUUCAGCCAUGGAUAAUUAUCUUAAGCCCAGAUUUUCUCAGGGGGGGGCAACAAUUUUGCCAGGGAACACCACUGGCUAUCGUAUGUCAGAGGCUCCAAAGGCGGUAGAAUCCCUGUGAUGUUAUCCACUGUUCACCCCGUGUUCUUUUAAGCAAAUGUGCCUGCUCAAAAAUGCAAAAUCUUGCAAGCCUGUGGACACAAUACUGAAGUGAAGAGCAUCAGUAGAGUUACAUGUAGAAAAUUUUUUUUUGAGCGCUCUCUUUUGCAUGAUAUUUUUUUUUCUCGAUUGUGUGCUGCAUGAUUUUUUUUUUCUUUCUCCUUGGGUUGCAGGAAAUUUUUUUUCGAAAUCUUCCACCCCCCCCCCUCAAAAGUCAAAUGGUCCGCCCCUAAUGCUAUAUAAUUUUGUUCAUCAAGGUGAAGAAACCUUAACUCACUAUACCUUUUCCUGUUACAGAGCUAUGGUAGUAAUCUUUGAAGAUUUUCAUGAUCCCUCUAUCCAGUAGUUAACCAGUCUAGUAUUAUGACUGUAUUAUGUUAAAUAGCCUUGUUUGACUUUUGUAUUUUGUUUCUUUAAUAAUACAUUUACAAUGGUCAAAAUUACAGUUUAAUAUUUGUAUUUCUAAUGAUAAUUACUUGCAUAUAUCCAUCACACUUCUCCGUUACUAUUAAACUUAUUACUAUCAUGCAAGUAAAAUCUCUUGGGAAAAAUAAAAUGUUGUCCCAGGAUGGUCAUAAAUAUCAGCUAGUAAAACUAAUGAAUAUACCUUUAAUCAUGUACAUAUGACUAUCAUAUAAUAUGUUGUAAUUCCUUUAAGUGUUUCAAAUUAAAUAAAUUUUUAUUUUCAGUUGUUCAUUGUUCAAACUUAUUUGAAACCUACAGUAUAUGUAGUUGCUAUGAUUCAAAUUAAUAUCCAAAAGUGUGCCUUUUACUUCAGUCUUUAUGGACUCCUCCCUAAUACAGACACUUUAUUGUGCCACUCCAAUGUUCAUUCAAAGUGAUCCAACUGGCAUCUGAGCUGGUGAUAAUAUACAGCAAAGUAUUGGAACUAGGAGUAUAUCAGAUAAGUUGUUCAUUCAGUCAAGACCUUCAGGUUGUGCUGAUCAUCAUAUCAAACUCCAUCACAUAUUGUGCCUUAAAAACAUAUAUACAAAUUUUAAAACUUGUUGCAGCACACUGGGCCAUUCCAUCUAAUAUAGCCCCCCACACCUUAAAAAUUUUGGAACCCCAUUGGAUGCAAUUUUGGAACCCCUAUGAAUAUCCUUCUAACCCUUUAGGAUAUAGUUCCUGCUCCUUUGGAUAUCACUAAAACACCUAAUUUUUAGGAAAUCUCUU
RNAcentral lists this long non-coding RNA (2111 nucleotides) under Paramuricea clavata. Lineage: Eukaryota; Metazoa; Cnidaria; Anthozoa; Malacalcyonacea; Plexauridae. The record is from RNAcentral.